ACCUUAAGAAGAGAGAAGUACGAACGUACAGUUAGGAAUAAACGAUGUGUUCUCGACACGAUAUAUACUAUGUGUAUGUGUAUAUGAUAUCGUAUGAACGUUCAUCACCUUAAGAAGAGAGAACUAUGAAAAUCUCCACAUGAUAUAUGGUUACUACCGUAGGGUACUUGUGGUGGUGGUGGAGGAGCCGAAGAGGAGGAGCAGCAGCGGCCACUGAGGGUCGGGGCGGCGGUACCGGUACCGGAAGCUGGUGGUGCCGGAGGAGCGGGAGGUGCUGCUGUACGGUGGUGCUGGUCCUCCACGGGUACUAUCCAGUACCGGUGGCGUUCACAGCUGCGAGAGAGAGAUACCGGGCCGGCCACCACCUGGCAGAAUAAGCGACCGGCCGCCGCUCGUACUCGACGUUGGAAAGUGCUACCGCGGUGGCACCUACUACAGGUACGUCGUCGUCGUCGUCGGGAAGGCCAAUUUAUCGAGGUCCAUGGACCCGGGGCGCUUCCUUGACGAGGCACUCAAGACGUCGGAACUUCCCCUACGGUACUUGCCGCCGCACUACUACUACGUUCGAGGCUUCGCCCUACUGCUGCACCUCCGCAGGAGUGGCCGAACACCAGGUACCCCGCGGUUGGGAAGACAUUCGAGGUACCUAAUGUACCGCGAGCUCUCCUCCUUCCGGUCCGAUGACAGGUACCAACUUCUCCACCUGUCCACGAUGGCCGCUAUGGCACUCUUUUACGCCCGCUGUCUCAACAGCAAGCUCCGCCACCGGCCGUGCCCCCGUCGUGUGCACAUGUGCUUCGACCGCUACGCACGGUACAGUGCGGUGAAGGCCACGGACUCCCUACGCGAGUACCCCGUCUAUGCUUGAAACUUCUUCAGUCACCCCCUCUCGUCCCUACGGUUGCCGUACAACCAUCGUGGCCCACGUAGUUUUCCCCUGUGCGGCUCCGAUUCCCAACACCUGGUUACGGACUCCGCUGUUUCCCGCAAGGUUGUUAUACCGCCACGGCGGCGGUAACUCUCGACGGGUACCGCCGGGGUCGCGCCGGACGGUCUCGUGCGGCAGCGGCAGGAGGCGAGCACCGAGAAACUCGUGAAGGAGGUGGGCAUAGGCUUACUGCAUCUGUUCGUGUAAAACCGCGCGGUUAGUCCCAAUAGUUCUUCGGUCCAAAGGUUGACCAAGUAGUUACGUUCCCAAUCCGAUACCUUCGGGUACUAUCUCUUCUACAUACGUCUUCUUUGGUAUGUUGUACUGCUGGUGCCACGAUCGUCACCGUCUCCACUUGGACGAGGGCGCCUAGUUGUGUUAUUGUUGAACCGUCGUACCUGUUGCCAAUGCUGUUGUUGUCUACUUUCAACGGUAGCGAAAUCGUCGUUUUUGUUGGGACCGCUGCCGAAGUAGGGUAGGAGGAAACAACGGCUGUCGUCUGUUAAAGAGGUACCGAUGAGUUCAGACGUGCCACUACCGCCGUCACCACACCACAGCGAAUGGAACCCUGAGGUCGUUGUUGUCCGCAAACGUAGUGGCCGCUACUAGUGCGUUGUUGUUAGCGGCGAGUACUAACCUCGACUCCUCCUUCUGUACCACGAUGGCAUAUUCUUGGAGUACCCCAGACUCGACGACGUACUAAAGCAUCCGAUCCUCGGAUCCUCUGUUCUUGUAUUAUAUCACGAUGUUGGGGAUAUCCACGAUGGCCUAAGAAUCCGUUGGACGUGGCUAACUAACUUAUACACAUAUAACAUCAUGUUGAAUUCAUUUUUCCAAUUAAUAUUUACAGAUACUGGUGAUAAAUAAAUAAAGCACGGACUUUUGAACAUCAUUCUUGAUUCUUUGCUCCAGAGUUGCAUUUUUAUGGAUACCAUUUUACACCAACCUACGAUGUAGUUGAAAUCUAACAGCAAGAAAACAGGAUAUAUACUCCCAAACGAAGAAGAGAACUGACGAUUUUUAAGAAGAGUUUUAGACCACCUCGUAAUUAAACUCUGGUGUAUUGUAUGAAGUGCUUUAUAACAUUGGUAAAAUUGGAUAGGAACUUUUAAGAAAAAAAACAAUUGAUAAAAGUGUUAGCUUCACCUAUAAAAACCAACUUUAUAUGAGGGAGGCAAGGAAAUAGAUUCCACGUAAAAAAGGUCGAGCCACUGGUUCCGUCGUUAAAAACCUCGUAGACCCUGUUAUGAUGGGGACCAUAAUCGAAUCGCAACCUUUAAUUAAUCCUUUUACUCGAGCGCGCCGUUUCUCUUUUUCCCUCCCUUCAGUGAACCGCGGUUGUCUUACGUCUAAAAUUUUAUACAAGAGCACAUGUUUUACUCAGUUGAGGGGGACCAAAAGAAGUAAAAGGGGAAGAAGGUCAUGCACCGGUUGUCUUUUGUACCAACUAGAUCUGAACGUAGGUCGUGGAUUAACCCUAAGUUAACUCCUCUUGCUUCUGGCCCGGACACUAGAACCUAUGCUGAUACUGACCGAUCGAAGGCUACUGAGGUUGCUGCUUCAACUCGUAAGGGAGCUACUGCCGUUACCUACGCUCGUACUAGCUGAAGUACGGUCGUUUCUUCGGCUGCUACUCCGCCUGGAGCAACUUGUGUGCGCUCGACGAAGACGCCUCGCAUGCGUGCGGCCGCCUUCUGCGCCCCGCGCCGGUUGCGUGGCCGCCCGCGCCUGCGCCCGUGCCGGUUCCGCGUCCGCCCGCGCCUGCGCCCCUGCCGGUGCCGGUUGCACGGCCGCCCGCCCCUGCGCGCGCUCCGGUUGUACGUCUACCUGGGCCGGUACGUCACCUGCGUUGCGUCCGAAGUGUCCACCUAGUGGCUCCGCGACCACCUGCUCCGGUGCGUCUCCUACCUUAUGUCACGUUCGGCGGCCACUUAGGUCGCCUCUUCACCACCGGCCACAGGAAAACGUGCUACCAAAGCGAGUCUUCAUCCUUCUGGAAGAUAGGACCCCGCUAGGCCGAACCAUGUUGGUCCCGGAUAGAGAAGCUGCCGCUUGUACAAGAAUAUCUAAGAGCACGCGCGGCCUGGCCACUUCAUAAGUAGGUCCCUUGCCAACAGUACAAGGGGACGGUAGAACGCUUGUAGUGGUGGCCACUGGUUCCUCAACUACGCCGUCCAAGAUACACGCGUGUGCUGAGUCCGGUAUCUCUUCUACGACGACCACCUACGCUACCGAGCCUUCACCUUCUUCGACGGUCAUACGUGCGCCCGGAGCCUGCACGAGCACCACGUUUACUACAGCACGAAUUUGCGCACGCACGCCGCGAUGAACGACCAGGACAGCAGCCCGCACCGGCACCUCCACUGCUGUUACGGCAGCCCCUGCGGUCACUGCGAGCUGUACCAGCAGCUGCGAACCCGAACCGACCAGCGUCGUCUUACGCGGACCGAGACUGCUUCACCGUUCCGCCGGCAUGGCUUCAACAAGGUAGAAGCGAUUUACCGUCGUCGUUACUACGUUGGUCGGGACGGCUGCAAUUGCUUCCACUGACAUGUCUUUCACAAAGUAGAAGUCAUUUACCGUCGCCGUUACUACGUUGGUCGGGGCGGCCGUUGCAAUUGGGUACGUAGGCACACCUCAACUUGUUUCCACAACAAGGUCUCUCACUGGGACCUCAUGUUCGACUUCAUCGACUGUGGCCGUCGUUGUUACCGAGUUUACGAUUAGUUUUUUUCUUCGCUUCUACCAUGGGUCUGGUAGUUUUCGUUCUUUAAAUACGGUACGAUAAUCUCGCCUGUUUAGUUCCGCAUGAUUUGGUUCCCCACCAACUGCUCCACCGUCUCGAAACAGUUCAAUUAAUGGCCUGACAAGUUUUGUAUACCAGCUCUCCGUUUUUUCGGCCACCAUAAGUACCUCAUCGUUUGUUUUCCCACUUUUGAACACCGGCGUUCUUCUAUGGCAAACUAAGUCUACGGUAUUUUUUCUAACUUAACUCGUUUUCUUGAUGCGAGUUUCUAGAACGAUUACUCGAAGUUUACCGCUUCUGUUGAAAUACCUCUUCCAACUUCCUCCCGUCUGACUUCGCGGUAUGUUUAAGUUAAUUUAGGUGUAACUGACUACUGUUGUUCCACCCAACCUAAGCCAAAACAAAUAGGUACAACCUACUCGUUUCACACGGACUUCUUGGGUCUAAAUUUCCGUGUUUACUAUAUUAUAAAAAGAUUUUCCAAAGUAAAACGUGACUCGUAAAAAAGAUCGAUGGGAAGGUUAACAACACUUAGUAUCCCUGUGAACAUCAAAUUUUUCAACACGGUACAAGAGUCAAGGCC
Molecule: ribosomal RNA, 4257 nt
Filed under: Triticum aestivum (bread wheat)
Lineage: Eukaryota; Viridiplantae; Streptophyta; Magnoliopsida; Poales; Poaceae
Description: partial small subunit ribosomal RNA
Source: RNAcentral